Molecule: ribosomal RNA, 373 nt
Filed under: Neisseria elongata
Lineage: Bacteria; Pseudomonadati; Pseudomonadota; Betaproteobacteria; Neisseriales; Neisseriaceae
Description: bacterial SSU rRNA
Rfam family: Bacterial small subunit ribosomal RNA
Source: RNAcentral
AUAACCAAUCGAAAGAUUGGCUAAUACCGCAUACGCUCUGAGGAGGAAAGCAGGGGACCUUCGGGCCUUGCGUUAUUCGAGCGGCCAAUAUCUGAUUAGCUAGUUGGUGGGGUAAGGGCCUACCAAGGCGACGAUCAGUAGCGGGUCUGAGAGGAUGAUCCGCCACACUGGGACUGAGACACGGCCCAGACUCCUACGGGAGGCAGCAGUGGGGAAUUUUGGACAAUGGGCGCAAGCCUGAUCCAGCCAUGCCGCGUGUCUGAAGAAGGCCUUCGGGUUGUAAAGGACUUUUGUUAGGGAAGAAAAAGGAGCGGUUAAUACCCGUUUCUGCUGACGGUACCUAAAGAAUAAGCACCGGCUAACUACGUGCCAG